AUUUGUUCUAGGGCUAUGGAGAUGCUCAUAAAGGAUUCUCAUUCCUAUUGUAAGCCAGAGAGAAUGCAAUCCAAUGCAAUGUUUCGAUCAUGGAGUCUUUAUUGGACACAGGCUGGCAUGAGUUGAUGGCACCUGAAAAUCAGCAAGGUACAAAUGCUCCUGGGAGGAACAGCAUCUUCAGUCUCUAAACCUUGGUGCAGCUGAGUUUAUUAGAGGUUUUCCAGACCUUAACAAGAGCCUGUGACAGUACUAAGACCCUGGGGAUGGUGCGAAGGAGUCUGGAACCAGGAGGCUGCUGCGUUUUACAGGAUACUGGAGCCCAGUUCUCAAUCAAACGCUAGAGCUCAGAAAGACAUGCCUCUCAGAUCUGUCUACCUUUAAGCAUUUUUUUAAUUAAUAACUGGAUAUUGACCAUUAAAACCAUCACAGGUAUAGGAGUUUGU
Molecule: long non-coding RNA, 443 nt
Filed under: Homo sapiens (human)
Lineage: Eukaryota; Metazoa; Chordata; Mammalia; Primates; Hominidae
Description: HSALNT0221122
Source: RNAcentral